RNAcentral lists this ribosomal RNA (440 nucleotides) under uncultured Pantoea sp. RNAcentral's name for it is "bacterial SSU rRNA". It matches the Rfam family "Bacterial small subunit ribosomal RNA", at positions 358 to 790 of the family's 1533-position model. The record is from RNAcentral. Lineage: Bacteria; Pseudomonadati; Pseudomonadota; Gammaproteobacteria; Enterobacterales; Erwiniaceae.
GGAAUAUUGCACAAUGGGCGCAAGCCUGAUGCAGCCAUGCCGCGUGUAUGUAGAAGGCCUUCGGGUUGUAAAGUACUUUCAGCGGGGAGGAAGGGGGCGAGGUUAAUAACCUCGUUCAUUGACGUUACCCGCAGAAGAAGCACCGGCUAACUCCGUGCCAGCAGCCGCGGUAAUACGGAGGGUGCAAGCGUUAAUCGGAAUUACUGGGCGUAAAGCGCACGCAGGCGGUCUGUUAAGUCAGAUGUGAAAUCCCCGGGCUUAACCUGGGAACUGCAUUUGAAACUGGCAGGCUUGAGUCUUGUAGAGGGGGGUAGAAUUCCAGGUGUAGCGGUGAAAUGCGUAGAGAUCUGGAGGAAUACCGGUGGCGAAGGCGGCCCCCUGGACAAAGACUGACGCUCAGGUGCGAAAGCGUGGGGAGCAAACAGGAUUAGAUACCCUUG